RNAcentral lists this long non-coding RNA (163 nucleotides) under Capra hircus (goat). Its description in RNAcentral is "lncRNA (ENSCHIG00010015165.1)". The record is from RNAcentral. Lineage: Eukaryota; Metazoa; Chordata; Mammalia; Artiodactyla; Bovidae.
UAGGAAGGAACCUACUUUGGAGGCAUUAAAGGAAUGGAUCUUGGGAUUUUCACUAUAAGAAGCAGCAUUAUUACUCUGAAGAUCAGGAAAAUCAUCCGGCAGCUACACACUCUAAUUUUUGUCCGAGGUAAGUGAACAUGGCGUUGAACAUUGCUCAUUGUAC